RNAcentral lists this ribosomal RNA (1059 nucleotides) under Arthrobacter sp. 765G93. RNAcentral describes it as "bacterial SSU rRNA". It matches the Rfam family "Bacterial small subunit ribosomal RNA", at positions 56 to 1127 of the family's 1533-position model. Lineage: Bacteria; Bacillati; Actinomycetota; Actinomycetes; Micrococcales; Micrococcaceae. The record is from RNAcentral.
UGCAGUCGAACGAUGAUCUCCAGCUUGCUGGGGGGAUUAGUGGCGAACGGGUGAGUAACACGUGAGUAACCUGCCCUUGACUCUGGGAUAAGCCUGGGAAACUGGGUCUAAUACCGGAUAUGACCAUUCCGCGCAUGCGGUGGUGGUGGAAAGCUUUUGCGGUUUUGGAUGGACUCGCGGCCUAUCAGCUUGUUGGUGGGGUAAUGGCCUACCAAGGCGACGACGGGUAGCCGGCCUGAGAGGGUGACCGGCCACACUGGGACUGAGACACGGCCCAGACUCCUACGGGAGGCAGCAGUGGGGAAUAUUGCACAAUGGGCGAAAGCCUGAUGCAGCGACGCCGCGUGAGGGAUGACGGCCUUCGGGUUGUAAACCUCUUUCAGUAGGGAAGAAGCGAAAGUGACGGUACCUGCAGAAGAAGCGCCGGCUAACUACGUGCCAGCAGCCGCGGUAAUACGUAGGGCGCAAGCGUUAUCCGGAAUUAUUGGGCGUAAAGAGCUCGUAGGCGGUUUGUCGCGUCUGCUGUGAAAGACCGGGGCUCAACUCCGGUUCUGCAGUGGGUACGGGCAGACUAGAGUGAUGUAGGGGAGACUGGAAUUCCUGGUGUAGCGGUGAAAUGCGCAGAUAUCAGGAGGAACACCGAUGGCGAAGGCAGGUCUCUGGGCAUUAACUGACGCUGAGGAGCGAAAGCAUGGGGAGCGAACAGGAUUAGAUACCCUGGUAGUCCAUGCCGUAAACGUUGGGCACUAGGUGUGGGGGACAUUCCACGUUUUCCGCGCCGUAGCUAACGCAUUAAGUGCCCCGCCUGGGGAGUACGGCCGCAAGGCUAAAACUCAAAGGAAUUGACGGGGGCCCGCACAAGCGGCGGAGCAUGCGGAUUAAUUCGAUGCAACGCGAAGAACCUUACCAAGGCUUGACAUGAACCGGUAACGCCUGGAAACAGGUGCCCCGCUUGCGGUCGGUUUACAGGUGGUGCAUGGUUGUCGUCAGCUCGUGUCGUGAGAUGUUGGGUUAAGUCCCGCAACGAGCGCAACCCUCGUUCUAUGUUGCCAGCGGUUC